This 207-nucleotide ribosomal RNA is filed under the name uncultured bacterium. Its description in RNAcentral is "partial 16S ribosomal RNA". It matches the Rfam family "Bacterial small subunit ribosomal RNA", at positions 568 to 774 of the family's 1533-position model. The record is from RNAcentral.
CGCGUAGGUGGUUCAGUCAGUCAGAUGUGAAAGCCCCGGGCUCAACCUGGGAACUGCACCUGAUACUGCUGAGCUAGAGUACGGUAGAGGGCAGUGGAACUUCCGGUGUAGCGGUGAAAUGCGUAGAGAUCGGAAGGAACACCAGUGGCGAAGGCGACUGCCUGGACUGAUACUGACACUGAGGUGCGAAAGCGUGGGUAGCAAACA